Molecule: transfer RNA, 62 nt
Filed under: Amynthas sp. CS029
Lineage: Eukaryota; Metazoa; Annelida; Clitellata; Crassiclitellata; Megascolecidae
Description: tRNA-Leu1
Rfam family: tRNA
About the family: Transfer RNA (tRNA) molecules are approximately 80 nucleotides in length. Their secondary structure includes four short double-helical elements and three loops (D, anti-codon, and T loops).
Source: RNAcentral
AGUGUGUUGGCAGAAUAGUGCAACUGAUUUAGGAUCAGUAAAUGGGGCGACACCACACACUA